AUGCAGUUAAAGUAAUAUUCUGCAGCAUAAACAAAUGUAACACAUCUAUGCCCAGUUAAAAUCAUAUUCCAUAACAGUGCAUGGCAGUAACAACAGGCCUGAGAAGAACCGUGCUCAACAUGAAGGACACCGAGUCAAUACUGAACACUGUGGAAGACCCUUAAAUCUUUAUUUCAAAUCUUCAAGAAGAAUGCCAUGGCCCUGGCUUCUUGUGGUCCCUAGCCACCAAAUGCUCCGAAGAGGAACACCCUGACAUAAAAUCCAGGGGAUUCCUAACUGGACAGAGAUGGCUGGAUGAAUCUCCCUGACUCCAAGACCACUUGGCACUAAUUUGAAGUGGAUGAGAGUGGUGGGCCUUCAGAGACUGUGCCAACCCUCUGCUUCAAAUAAAAGUUUCAUUAUUUCA
Mesocricetus auratus (golden hamster) is the source of this 406-nucleotide long non-coding RNA. RefSeq lists it as uncharacterized. The record is from RefSeq and is a predicted model, not a curated record. The transcript has 2 exons. Lineage: Eukaryota; Metazoa; Chordata; Mammalia; Rodentia; Cricetidae.